ACAGACACGGGAUGACACGAAGAGAUACCGAAGACAAAGCAGAAAGGAAAAGAAAGGUCACAUCAUUUGUGUGAUGUUCG
Molecule: non-coding RNA, 80 nt
Filed under: Chromera velia
Lineage: Eukaryota; Chromeraceae
Source: RNAcentral